RNAcentral lists this long non-coding RNA (793 nucleotides) under Homo sapiens (human). RNAcentral's name for it is "non-protein coding lnc-MUC20-67:16". The record is from RNAcentral. Lineage: Eukaryota; Metazoa; Chordata; Mammalia; Primates; Hominidae.
GCAUCUGAAGACGUUUGACCGGGGAAUGGUCUGGAACACGGACCUGGUGGAGACCCUGGAGCUGCAGAACCUGAUGCUAUGUGCGCUGCAGACCGUCAAUGGAGCAGAGGCGGGGAAGGAGUCACGGGGCGCGCACGCCGGGGAAGACUACAAGGUGCAGAUUGAUGAGUAUGAUCACUCCAAGCCCAUCCAGGGGCAACAGAAGAAGCCCUUUGAGGUGCACUGGAGGAAGCACACCCUGUCCUAUGUGGACGUCGGCACUGGGAAGGUUGCCUGUUCACUCUGCCUGGUCAUAUGCAGAAAACCGAAACUAGACCCCUUGCUGACACUUAUACAAAAAUUAACUCAAGAUGCAUUAAAGAUUUAAACGUGAGACCUAAAACCAGAAAAAUCCUAGAAGAAAACCUAGGCAACACCAUUGAGGACGUAAGCAUGGGCAAAGACUUCAUGACUAAAACACCAAAAGAAAUGGCAACAAAAGCCAAAAUUGACAAAAGGUUUCCUUAAUGACAACAAAAAAGGGAGUAAUCCUACCCACUGUAAGAGUCAUGACUCUUGAUUGCAGCUGACAGAAACUCAUGACAGCCUGCUUUAGAUGAAGGGGGAGAGAAGGACUGGAAGAAUCUUGGAGUUGGGAAUGUCACACGUAAUUGAAGGAAGAACAAGAAAACUAUAAUUCUUCCCCUGGAGGCUGGAGUUUCCAGGAUGUCAAAAUUACCUCUGCUUGGGUGAGCUAUUUCAAGCAGCUGGGAUACCUGUGUCACUCCUGCUGUCUGCCAGUGACUGCCCAGGU